GGGGAAUUUUGGACAAUGGGGGCAACCCUGAUCCAGCCAUGCCGCGUGAGUGAAGAAGGCCUUCGGGUUGUAAAGCUCUUUCAGUCGGGAAGAAACGGAGCGCUCUAACAUAGCGCUCUACUGACGGUACCGACAGAAGAAGCACCGGCUAACUACGUGCCAGCAGCCGCGGUAAUACGUAGGGUGCGAGCGUUAAUCGGAAUUACUGGGCGUAAAGCGUGCGCAGGCGGCUUUGUAAGACAGGUGUGAAAUCCCCGGGCUUAACCUGGGAACUGCGCUUGUGACUGCAAAGCUAGAGUACGGCAGAGGGGGGUGGAAUUCCACGUGUAGCAGUGAAAUGCGUAGAUAUGUGGAGGAACACCGAUGGCGAAGGCAGCCCCCUGGGCCUGUACUGACGCUCAUGCACGAAAGCGUGGGGAGCAAAC
RNAcentral lists this ribosomal RNA (425 nucleotides) under uncultured bacterium. RNAcentral's name for it is "bacterial SSU rRNA". It matches the Rfam family "Bacterial small subunit ribosomal RNA", at positions 356 to 773 of the family's 1533-position model. The record is from RNAcentral.